This 194-nucleotide ribosomal RNA is filed under the name uncultured archaeon. Its description in RNAcentral is "partial 16S ribosomal RNA". It matches the Rfam family "Bacterial small subunit ribosomal RNA", at positions 338 to 524 of the family's 1533-position model. The record is from RNAcentral.
CCUACGGGAGGCAGCAGUGGGGAAUACUGCGCAAUGGGGGAAACCCUGACGCAGCGACGCCGCGUGAGCGAAGAAGGCUUUAGGGUCGUAAAGCUCUGUUGUAAGGGACGAAGGGAGUGCUGCGAAUAGUGGCGCUAGGUGACGGUACCUUACGAGGAAGCCCCGGCUAACUACGUGCCAGCAGCCGCGGUAAU